RNAcentral lists this long non-coding RNA (437 nucleotides) under Anser brachyrhynchus (Pink-footed goose). Its description in RNAcentral is "lncRNA (ENSABRG00000014464.1)". Lineage: Eukaryota; Metazoa; Chordata; Aves; Anseriformes; Anatidae. The record is from RNAcentral.
CAUCUAUGUCUCUUACUCUCAUUUUACAGACAGGACAUAGAAAGAUGUGAAAUACAAACUUAGACUCAGAUUUUUUUCAUGGACACAGACAGAAGAUAAGUCCCUCCUAGUAACUUAUAGCUACUUAGAGUUCAUAAUUGUCAGUAAGUAAGAUCUACAUUUUAGAUACCUCAGGAGAAUCAGUCAAGGCUGAAUGGCAGCCAAGUGUCCUGCCCAUGCUUGCAGCACUGCUAUAAUGCAUCAAGAUUUUCCAUCAAGAAAUGAUCACAGAAAUAUUAGUGAUAGUGGGCCCUGUGGGAAAGGAGAUACAAGGGGGACUCCCAUCGUAAAUAAAAGUGAAAGCUGAUAGCAGAGGAAAAAUGGUAUAACUAUUACUCUGAGCCAGUUAAUUAAACUCUUUAGCCUGUUUUUAGAUAAAUUAAAAACAAUUUUAAAAU